Molecule: transfer RNA, 59 nt
Filed under: Bos taurus (domestic cattle)
Lineage: Eukaryota; Metazoa; Chordata; Mammalia; Artiodactyla; Bovidae
Also listed under: 1 other name
Source: Rfam by way of RNAcentral
UCCCAAAGAAGAAUCUGCCUGCAAUGCAGGAAACCUGGGUUCGAUCCCUGGUUUGGGAA